Molecule: ribosomal RNA, 429 nt
Filed under: Chloroflexota bacterium
Lineage: Bacteria; Bacillati; Chloroflexota
Description: Chloroflexi bacterium partial 16S ribosomal RNA
Rfam family: Bacterial small subunit ribosomal RNA
Source: RNAcentral
UGGGGAAUAUUGCACAAUGGGCGCAAGCCUGAUGCAGCCAUGCCGCGUGUAUGAAGAAGGCCUUCGGGUUGUAAAGUACUUUCAGCGGGGAGGAAGGGAGUAAAGUUAAUACCUUUGCUCAUUGACGUUACCCGCAGAAGAAGCACCGGCUAACUCCGUGCCAGCAGCCGCGGUAAUACGGAGGGUGCAAGCGUUAAUCGGAAUUACUGGGCGUAAAGCGCACGCAGGCGGUUUGUUAAGUCAGAUGUGAAAUCCCCGGGCUCAACCUGGGAGCUGCAUCUGAUACUGGCAAGCUUGAGUCUCGUAGAGGGGGGUAGAAUUCCAGGUGUAGCGGUGAAAUGCGUAGAGAUCUGGAGGAAUACCGGUGGCGAAGGCGGCCCCCUGGACGAAGACUGACGCUCAGGUGCGAAAGCGUGGGGAGCAAACAGG